AUGCUCCGCAGAGAACUCUGUGGCUGUGUGCACCUUGAGUCAGCAGAGCACAGAAUUUGGGGUACACCUUCCUUUCUUCCCUGCCCGAGAGCCUUUCCAAAAGGAAACAAAAUAUAUGGGACCAGUGCACUGCUGAAAAUUCAGAUAACCUUAACUAGGCUAUGGUCCAUUUCUACUUAUGGAAAAUGGGAUGUCAGAAUUAAGGGACAGCUCUGGAAGAAGGAAAUACAUCUUCAUAUAGAACUCUGAAAUAUGUACAGCGCUAAGGAUUAGGAAAGAAGGAAGAAGAAAACAUUAAGCAACGCUCACAAAUAUCAGCAUCUAUGACAAAGGUUUGCUGGGCAUCUUACUGCAGAACAGGCAGCUCCUCCUCUAAGAGUAUGGGGGCAAGGCUUGAAAGUGUAAGGUAAGAGUUUGUGUCACAGUACUGAAAUAUGGACCUGACAAUAAGGUAAAGAGGUGCCAAAAGGGGCAACAGUUUAGUGAAAUCCUUGGGAUAGCAGCAGUCAGUGCCCCACAGGCCACCUGGAUCCACCUAGUUUACUUUCUGUGCCAGGGAAGUCAGACACUUGUGCAGGCAAGACCAAGCAGGCACAGAUGGGCACAGGGCUGUGGGCAACCCCCACCCCACCCCAGAGCCAGACUCCACUGUCACCUCUUUGAGGAAGGGUGCCAUUUGAACACAAGGUCUUGAGGAACUGCUGUGAAGACAGCCACACGAACCUGAGAUGGACGCCUUCAGCCCUCUCUUCUCCCUGCAGCCCAGACAGCUGGUGCCACUGCUUGGCCACCUGCUGCUUCUCCCCUAGCUACUCCCAGCCAACACCCACAACAUGGGACAGAGCAAAGUCCAUCCCUUCAGUCUUCCUAGCCUACACAACAUGGACAUCAGAUAAAAAAAAAACACAUACUAAUCACAAAUAAACUGAAUGCUGGCUAAAGGAACUUUUUUAAAACAUAAAGGCUAAAGGACAAGCAUCCAGGCUUUGCAAGCAAAUGAUUGCCCAAAGUUUAAAAAACUGUUGUCAAGUAUUUACACCUUUGUGGGAGUCAGCCUGACCUGUGCUCCAGGUCAGCCAACCACUACUGAAGAAGACCUGUACCCCAACCCUAGGCCCUGGGAGGCAUUUGUUGGAGUUGGGAUGGGCUCAGCCACCCCAUGGCUACUGCAA
RNAcentral lists this long non-coding RNA (1172 nucleotides) under Ficedula albicollis (Collared flycatcher). RNAcentral's name for it is "lncRNA (ENSFALG00000025772.1)". The record is from RNAcentral. Lineage: Eukaryota; Metazoa; Chordata; Aves; Passeriformes; Muscicapidae.